RNAcentral lists this ribosomal RNA (448 nucleotides) under uncultured bacterium. RNAcentral describes it as "bacterial SSU rRNA". It matches the Rfam family "Bacterial small subunit ribosomal RNA", at positions 328 to 792 of the family's 1533-position model. The record is from RNAcentral.
GCCCCAGACUCCUACGGGAGGCAGCAGUAGGGAAUUUUGCGCAAUGGGGGAAACCCUGACGCAGCAACGCCGCGUGAUUGAUGAAGCCCUUCGGGGUGUAAAGAUCUGUCAGUGGGGACGAAACUUGACGGUACCCACAGAGGAAGCCCCAGCUAACUACGUGCCAGCAGCCGCGGUAAUACGUAGGGGGCAAGCGUUAUCCGGAUUUACUGGGUGUAAAGGGAGCGUAGACGGCAGCACAAGUCUGGAGUGAAAUCCCGGGGCUUAACCCCGGAACUGCUUUGGAAACUGUGCGGCUGGAGUGCAGGAGGGGUAAGCGGAAUUCCUAGUGUAGCGGUGAAAUGCGUAGAUAUUAGGAGGAACACCGGUGGCGAAGGCGGCUUACUGGACUGUAACUGACGUUGAGGCUCGAAAGCGUGGGGAGCAAACAGGAUUAGAUACCCCAGUA